Molecule: long non-coding RNA, 323 nt
Filed under: Carica papaya (papaya)
Lineage: Eukaryota; Viridiplantae; Streptophyta; Magnoliopsida; Brassicales; Caricaceae
Description: long non-coding RNA (CPAP_LNC013256)
Source: RNAcentral
AGAUAGGAAAUUUCUAAAAGGCCUUCAUGCUGAUAUCUAUGAUCGAGUUGUUAUGCUGAGACCCAGCUCAUAUGCCAAGGUGCUAGAACAUGCCCAGUUGGCCGAGGACCUUAUCUUAGCCAGGCAGCAACCCAUUGCCCGAGUUCGUACCCAACAACAAUAAAACUAACCCCAACAACAGGAGACGAACCAGUACAGUGACACUCGGUUUGCACGAGGUCCAAUUUACAGUGUUUCUGGCAGUUUUUCAAUGCGUCUUCACCAUAUCUGUGCCAGAUCCAUUGAGUCACACAGUCCUGUGCCUUUUUUUAGUGUUUUCCAAU